This 422-nucleotide long non-coding RNA is filed under the name Homo sapiens (human). RNAcentral describes it as "non-protein coding lnc-HBS1L-3:4". The record is from RNAcentral. Lineage: Eukaryota; Metazoa; Chordata; Mammalia; Primates; Hominidae.
AUUCGGCGCUCGCGCCGCCGCGGUGCGCCUAGCGCGCCGCGAGGCCCGGGAGGCGCGCGGGCAGGGAGCCCGGGGCCAGGGAGGGGUGGCCGGGGGCCGCGACGGCGCCUUUUCCUGAGCAAACCCCGCUCCCGGGUCGCGGCGGCGCCGACCCGCGCCCAGUCCCGCCGCCUCCCCUCCUCCCUGGCUGCCGCACCGCGGUCGCCCGGCUCCGCGUGCUCCCGGGCAGCGGGACCAGAGCUCCUCCAGCUCCCACUCACUGUCGCGGGGGCGGCAAGCGGUGGGGGGAAAUUCCCGCACAGAAGAUUGGAUUUUCGUCAAGGUUUACAACUGUGCCCUCUGGAGACGGGGAAAUUAGGAGUUGGAGGAGUAGGGGAUUGACAAAGGACGCUUCAAUACAAGUGGGCGGCAACCAUCACCGC